This 501-nucleotide ribosomal RNA is filed under the name uncultured bacterium. RNAcentral describes it as "partial 16S ribosomal RNA". It matches the Rfam family "Bacterial small subunit ribosomal RNA", at positions 29 to 523 of the family's 1533-position model. The record is from RNAcentral.
AUUGAACGCUGGCGGCAUGCCUUACACAUGCAAGUCGAACGGCAACACGGGUGCUUGCACCUGGUGGCGAGUGGCGAACGGGUGAGUAAUACAUCGGAACGUACCUUAUCGUGGGGGAUAACGCAGCGAGAGCUGUGCUAAUACCGCAUACGCCCUGAGGGGGAAAGCGGGGGAUCGCAAGACCUCGCGCGAUUAGAGCGGCCGAUGCCUGAUUAGCUUGUUGGUGGGGUAAAAGCCCACCAAGGCGACGAUCAGUAGCUGGUCUGAGAGGACGAUAAGCCACACUGGGACCGAGAAACGGCCCAGACUCCUACGGGAGGAAGCAGUGGGGAAUUUUGGACAAUGGGGGCAACCCUGAUCCAGCAAUGCCGCGUGAGUGAAGAAGGCCUUCGGGUUGUAAAGCUCUUUUGUCAGGGAAGAAACACCGGCUCUAACACAGUCCGGGAAUGACGGUACCUGAAGAAUAAGCACCGGCUAACUACGUGCCAGCCGCCGCAGUAA